This is an RNA transcript of Solenopsis invicta (red fire ant), 2396 nucleotides long. It is a transcript of the gene named 2-(3-amino-3-carboxypropyl)histidine synthase subunit 1, with no coding region annotated. Lineage: Eukaryota; Metazoa; Arthropoda; Insecta; Hymenoptera; Formicidae. The transcript has 5 exons. The record is from RefSeq and is a predicted model, not a curated record.
GUUAGCACUCUGGACUUUGAAUCCAGCGAUCCGAGUUCAAAUCUCGGUGGGACCUGCUAGAACUUUUAUUUUUUUUUAUACUUAAAUAAUUAAGAUUUUUUUAUUAUUUUGCUCAUAAACAUGCAGUGAAAUCUGCGAUUUGUAUAUCAUAGUAAGUUUUGUUAAAACAAGAUACGUUUGGCGAUUCCACAUGUUUUCCUCUGUUCAUAACCUAAUCUUAACCUAACUUAUCGCUUCUUUUACUUGCUGCUAACGCAAAACAAUAUAUAUAUAUAUAUAUAUACGUUUAUGUAGACCACGUGUUGUAGCAUUUUUGAGAAUUUGAUUGCUCGCGAAAAAGAAUGGCCGAGCAAGACAAUUCCGUGGUAGUUAUCAAGGCGAAGCCUGUUCGUAAAGUUUUCAAGGCUCCCACGAGAGUCAGCAAAAUUCCCGAGGAGCUCCUGAACGAUCCUCUCCUGAAUUCUGCCAUAGCAGCUCUACCCGCGAAUUAUAAUUUUGAGAUACACAAGUCGAUAUGGAGAAUCAGAGAGGCCAAAGCGAAGCGAGUGGUUCUCCAAAUGCCAGAAGGCCUUUUAUUGUACGCCACAACCAUAGCUGACAUCAUUGAAGAUUUUACUGAAGCAGAGACUGUUAUUAUGGCCGAUGUCACCUAUGGAGCCUGCUGUGUAGACGAUUACACGACACGAGCGUUGGAUGCGGAUUUCCUGAUCCACUAUGGACACUCGUGUCUUAUACCUGUGGAUCAGACUGUCGGUAUCAAGGUGCUUUAUGUAUUUGUUAACAUAAAAAUUGAUAUUUCACAUUGUGUGGAUUGUCUGAAAGUCAGUCUACCAGUUACUACAAAGAUAGCGCUAGUCAGUACAAUACAGUUUGCCACAACGGUACAAGCGGUAGCAAUGGAACUGAAAAGAGACGGUUACGAGGUCUCGGUGCCGCAGAGCAAGCCACUUAGUCCUGGAGAGAUUUUAGGAUGCACUGCGCCACAAGUUCGCUGCGCCGAUGCGGUAAUCUACUUAGGGGAUGGCCGCUUCCAUUUGGAGGCUGCUAUGAUUGCCAAUCCCAAGCUGAGGGCGUUCAAAUACGAUCCAUACGCAAAGAAAUUGACCGAAGAGUUCUACGAUCACGAGAGAAUGUUGAACACCAGGCACGACGCGAUACAGCGUGCUAUGAAAACUGACAAAUAUGCUUUAGUGCUCAGUACUCUGGGCAGGCAGGGUAGUCCUAGUGUAUUGAAAACUCUGCAAAAUAGAAUCGAGGCUUUAGGGAAGGAAAACGUCGUGAUAUUGCUGUCGGAGAUAUUCCCGGAUAAAAUCAAGCUAUUCAGAAAUGUUGACGCUUUCAUACAAAUCGCGUGUCCACGAUUGAGCAUUGACUGGGGUGUCGCGUUCGAGAAACCGUUUCUCACACCCUACGAAGGCGCCGUUGCCCUUAGGAUGGCGGAUUUCAACAGAGAUCGGCCGUAUCCCAUGGAUUUUUACGCUACAAUCAGCCUCGGACCGUGGACCGCCAAUCACAAGGAAUCUGAGUUAGAAAAGACUGAUGCUUGCUGCGGUAAAUGUAAAAUGGACAAAUAAAAGAGUCGAAUAUUACAAUUCAAAUUCAUUAUGAGAUUGUCAAUUUAUUAAAUUAAAAGAAAUUAUCCCUCUUUGUUUUCCACUACGAUUGCACCAGUUUGUUUUUUAAUAAAUUUUUCAUUAGACGUAGCUGUAAAUUUGAGCAGGUGCAUUCGAGAGCUGUCCAUAUUAAAUCCCCGUCAUCCCUAAGUUGUUGCUAGCGGAGCGAUAAUGGGCAGAUAGGAGGGUCCGCGUGGGCGAAUUACGUCAUACGCCCACCUGUAGCCCGCUCACACACAUACACACUGAAAUAUCGUACAUACAGGGUGUACGAAGCAGCAUAUCGGCAAGAUUUCGUAAAACGUUCUAUAAAAAAAGAAAAUGAAUGUUAACGGCCAAGUAACGAAUAAUUUACGCAAAUGAAAGCGUUCUUUAUUAGAAAGAUAUUGUUUCGAAUAUCAACAUUUUUGUUACUCUACUGCUAUGAAACAUGUAUGCCGUACAAGGAUGAAAUAUAGCGAUGAAUAUAUGAUGAAACGACCGACGUGAGUGAAGGAAAGGAACACAGAGUACAUGAUAAAAUACCGGGGGUGGAAGGCGGCGCCGGCCGCACCCCGGCGUCGCGACGUCAGUCGUUGUUCCAGCGUGGCUCAACAAGUACACGCGGGGCGCCUAGUCCACGGUUUCAAAUUUUGGAAUAAUCUUGACGUGACUUGUCAUACAGUUAUUCUAUACUAAAAUGUAUUAAAUCGACGAAUAUAGCAGGAAUUGUGAAAGUAAAUCGUCCGCAAAUCAUCAUUUAUCCCGAUUAGUGAACGAUCUGAUCGUCAACAUUGGUAAAAA